Long non-coding RNA from Rhododendron vialii, 2955 nucleotides. RefSeq lists it as uncharacterized. Lineage: Eukaryota; Viridiplantae; Streptophyta; Magnoliopsida; Ericales; Ericaceae. The record is from RefSeq and is a predicted model, not a curated record. The transcript is spliced from 3 exons.
GAGUAUAACUUCCUAUUUUUGUGUUUUUUCCCAUUUAGUUAUUUCUGCUAUUUUUCUCUGUGUUGAGUUCUUUUUGUAGAGAUUAUUGUUAAAUGUGGAGGAUUUUCAUUUGGGGAAUUCAUUUUUAUAUAAUUGAUAUUGGAAUAGGAUGAGUCUGAUGAGAUGCUAAGCUAGGUUUUAAGGAUCAAAUUUUUGAUGUCUACAGAUACCUUCCUCUGUGUGUGUUUGUAGAUAGAUAUUGGCAUUGCAUUCGGGAUUUAGGGGUGAUUUUUUUUAGUAAUGAAAAUCUUUAUCAUGGUUCAUGUGUUCUUGAUGCUAGUUUAUGACAAUUUUGUUUGUAUUUACUUAUCUAAGGAUGCACCUAGCUUGUGCUAGGACAUAAUUUGGGUUUGCAUUACUGGUAGUUCGCUACUCACACAUGGUGAUGUGUGCAGAUCCUACAGGGAGUGGCAUGGUUGAAUAUUUAGAAUAUAUAAUAUUUGAACUUUAUUAUAGGUGGUUUUGUGAUAUUUGCUACCCUUCCUAAUAAAAUUUGGGUGAUGACGAGCAAAUUUAUGACUGAUCUUGUUAGGAUUCUUGUUAAACGUGUUGAGUUGACUCUUGAGGUAACUUGUCUUUUUCUCUUUAUUUUCCUUUUGAGAAUCUAAAAUUCAAAUUUCGUUCCUUGUUAAUUGCUUUUUAACUAUUUUCCGAAUAUUAUUGGGCAUCAAGCAGUUCUUCGUUGCAAUAGAAAGGGAGGAGUGGAAGUUUGAUACUUUGUGUGAUCUUUAUGAUACCCUUACCAUCACCCAAGCUGUUAUUUUCUGCAAGACAAAGCGGAAGGUAAAGGGUACACUCCUUGUCUUGGUCAACUCCCUUGUAGUGUCAACUUACAUGUCCAUCAUUCUACUGUUUCAUUCUAUCCAGUUGAUCAAGGGACAAAUUGGCUGCUGAAACUUUCAGGGUUGAUUGGCUAAGAUGCGUAGCAACAACUUUACUGGUCUCUUCUAUGCAUGGAGAUAUGCCCUAGAAGGAGAGAUGCAAUAAUGAAAGAGUUCCGGGAUGGUGACACCCGCGUUGUGAUCACUACUAAUAUUUGGGAUUAAGGACUGGAUGUUCAACAGGCAAGUACUCUCUUUCAUUUAGUUGUACAUACACUUUUGUAUUAUUCUGUGAAGUUUCCUUCUAGCUACGAUUUGCAAAGGGACUAGUUAAUAGUUAUGUCGAGUCGUCGACAAUUCUGAACUGGUGAUGCUAUUUAUGUACUCAGCUAAUCUAUAUUUAUUUAACAUAAUUUCUAGCCCAACCAGAUCUAAUUGCAUUGGCAAUUUCAGAUGUUGAAAACACAAAUUGGUGGAUUUGAUGUUACCUUGGUUUAAUACGGAUUAUAGUGUACGUAGUACGUACUAGAUCCGAAAUGUACUUGUUGCCUCGAAUCUGAUGUUGCCUUGGUCUACUAUGGAUCAAAGUUUCCAUACCAGAUCCAAUAAGUAUUUGUUGCCUUGAAUUAAUCUCUCAUUGCAAGUGUUGGAUCAAUUUUAUAGAUACAAAAAUUUGUGUGUUGCUUCGGUUGAAAAUAAAAGGACCAUGUUUGCUUGAUGAGAUGGAAAUAAAGUACUGGUUACUUCUUCCUAGUAGUGUAUACGAGAAAAACACAUGGCGGUUAGUAGGCUUUUGGACUACUAGUCAUCUGAAGGAAAAUAGUGAAACACAUGACUGUUAGUAGGUGUUUAGACUACUAGUCAUGUGAAAAGAAAAUUGUGAUUCCUAGUAGGUGUAAAGAUUACUAAUCACUAAGUGAUAAGAACUCUGAAAGUGUGCAUUUCAAAUUAUGCAAUCGAAAAAACAGUGGUUCCUAGUAGGUUAACAAGACUACUGGCCACAAUAAGUAGCUCAUAGUAAAAGGCUACUGGUCACUGAAAAAGUGAUUCCUAGUAGAGGGCUACUAGCUACAGAGGAGGGAAGUUGUCGAAAUCUUGUUAGACCAAGUAUCUUUGAUGGGUCUAAAACAUAUGUUGCUCCGAUUCAAAAGAAAGGCCCAAUUCAUCUUAGAAGUUUAUUAUUGAGAAUUUUUUGUUGGCUUGAUUGGUUUUGGAACAUGUGGAUGUGAUGUCACGUCGAUUUAAUAUGGAUUAGAGUUUACGUACUAGAUCCAAAUGGUACUUCUUUCCUUGAAUCGAUGUUUACUCGGUCAAAUAUGGAUCAAAGUUUUCAAACUAGAUUCAUUAAGUAGAAGAUGGUAAUUCCUAGUAGGUGUAAAAACUACUAAUCACCAAGUGAUAAGAACUCUGAAAGAGUGCGUUUCAAUUAUGAAAUCGGGAAAAAAGUGUUUUUUAGUAGGUGAAUGAGACUACGGAUCACAAUUUGUAGCUCCUAGUAGAUGGCUACUGAUCACUGAAAAAGUGAUUCCUAUUAGAGGGCUACUGGCUACCGAGGAUGGAAUUUAUCAAAAUCUUGUCAGACCUAGUAUGUUUGAUGGGUCUAAAAUAAAUGUUGCUCCGAUUCAAAGAAAAGUCCAAUCCAUCUUGUAAGUCCAUUAUUGGGAAAUAUUUGUGGCCUGAGGAAUCCGAUGACAAUUAGAACAAACAAUUGGUGGAAUAUCUUUCCACAGACUUUGCAAUCCUUGAUUCAGAAGAAAAAGAAAGUUCAUGAGGAACUCAUUUAUAUCAGAAGUUCUUGUUUCAGUUUUCAGACAAAUUGGUGUAGGCGUAAACUUGCAGGUUAGAAAUCUUAUAAUGUCUUGACGUCCUGUUUGUAUGUCAUUAUGUUGCUUCUUGGCGAUGUUACACUUAAAAUUGCUAUUCAUCUUUUGAUCUUUUGUCUAUCCUCGUUACUUUGGUUUAAAAAAGUGGUAGGUAUAGUUUCCCACAAUGAGACUUUGUAGUUUGCUAACUUGAGUACUAUUUUGGGAAUCCCAAGUUUGCUUCUGUGAUAUGUCCAAAAUAACUGCUUCAGUUUACUUUGUUCUCCUAAUUU